AAAUAACAUACAACCGCAAAGGAAAAUUCGAGCACAAAAAAUGCACAAGGUUACUUACCUUCAUAUGAUGCACUGGGUGUCUUACAGGACCUUACUUUUCCAUUUAUUUAAAUUCGCAAUAUCCCCAUGAUAGUUAUUGUUUUUGCUAUAUCUAGUUUUAUGUUCUUACCGCUUUACGAAUAUCAAUGUGAAAAAUCAAUUAUAAAGCAUAAGGCUUUCAUAAACAAAGCUUUUGUCAUCGCGUACCGCA
Drosophila ficusphila is the source of this 250-nucleotide long non-coding RNA. RefSeq lists it as uncharacterized. The record is from RefSeq and is a predicted model, not a curated record. The transcript has 2 exons. NCBI's taxonomy places the organism in Eukaryota, Metazoa, Arthropoda, Insecta, Diptera, Drosophilidae.